Molecule: non-coding RNA, 78 nt
Organism: Potamilus streckersoni
Lineage: Eukaryota; Metazoa; Mollusca; Bivalvia; Unionida; Unionidae
Source: the annotation of a GenBank genome assembly
GACCAUUUUGCUUGGCCUGGUGGUUAGAGUGUCCGCCAUGGAUGCGGGAGGUCACGGGUUCGAACCCAGGCAGAGUCA